RNAcentral lists this unclassified non-coding RNA (355 nucleotides) under soil metagenome. Its description in RNAcentral is "partial contains 5.8S ribosomal RNA, internal transcribed spacer 2, and large subunit ribosomal RNA". The stretch from base 1 to 120 matches the Rfam family "5.8S ribosomal RNA", at positions 35 to 154 of the family's 154-position model. The record is from RNAcentral.
GAUGAAGAACGCAGCGAAAUGCGAUAAGUAAUGCGAAUUGCAGAAUUCAGUGAAUCAUCGAAUCUUUGAACGCACAUUGCGCCCGCUAGUAUUCUGGCGGGCAUGCCUGUCUGAGCGUCAUUUCAACCCUCGCCCCCGGCUUUUGCUGGGAGCGGUGUUGGGGAUCGGCCGCCCGUCACUGGGAGGCCGGCCCCGAAAUAGAGUGGCGACCACGCCGUGUGCUCCUCUGCGUAGUAGUAAAUCACCUCGCAGGCGGUCAGCGGUGCGGCCUGCCGUAAAACCCCCAACUCUUUCUGGUUGACCUCAGAUCAGGUAGGAAUACCCGCUGAACUUAAGCAUAUCAAUAAGCGGAGGA